Molecule: long non-coding RNA, 540 nt
Organism: Haemorhous mexicanus (house finch)
Lineage: Eukaryota; Metazoa; Chordata; Aves; Passeriformes; Fringillidae
Exons: 2
Source: RefSeq, a predicted model, not a curated record
UGGGACAGAUUUUGGGUGGAAAUUUUUGGGAAUUUUGAGGGGAUUUUGAGGAGAUUUUGGGGUGAAUUUAGGAAGGAUUUUGGGGUGAAUUUGGGGUUUUUUGGUGCUUCCAGGACCACCUGCUCCUCCCAGCCCGGAGCCACAACAAAACCUCGAGGCCCAAAAUGUCCCUGGUGAUGCCGGCGGCCGCUCUCAACGAGUCCCUGCGUGGCCCCCAGCCCAUGAUGCAGGUGGACUGCGAGGUGAUGGACACGCGCGUCAUCCACCUGCGCCGCCGGGCCACGCCCCCAACGCGGGCCACGCCCACCCGCAGGCCCCGCCCAAUCACCUUGGCGGGAGACGGCGGCUGAGACACGCCCACUUCUGGGGAAAGACACGCCCCCUUCGCGAUAUGUGCAGGUCGAGGCCACGCCCCCUUGAUGGGAUCAAGAGAUUAAGCCACGCCCCCAAUUGUAAUGAGUUUAAGCCACGCCCCUUUAACACAGUGGGUGAGGCCACACCCCCUUAAAACCCCAUUUAAGCCACACCUCCUAAAAAUAA